UACAGAGGGGGCAAGCGUUGUUCGGAAUUACUGGGCGUAAAGGGCGCGUAGGCGGCCCGUUAAGUCGAACGUGAAAUCCCCGGGCUCAACCCGGGAACUGCGUCCGAUACUGGCAGGCUUGAAUUCGGGAGAGGGAUGCGGAAUUCCAGGUGUAGCGGUGAAAUGCGUAGAUAUCUGGAGGAACACCGGUGGCGAAGGCGGCAUCCUGGACCGAGAUUGACGCUGAUGCGCGAAAGCCAGGGGAGCAAACGGG
Molecule: ribosomal RNA, 253 nt
Filed under: uncultured bacterium
Lineage: Bacteria
Description: partial 16S ribosomal RNA
Rfam family: Bacterial small subunit ribosomal RNA
Source: RNAcentral